AUGGCGGACAAUACCGGCAGAGAGGGAGAAGAGGCCUUGUUUGAGAUCAUACGCUCCCCUCGCGCGCCAGAUAAUCGAAAUGAAGAAGAUGACAGCUCCCAAUAUCUGAACAAUACUGGGGAGGGUGAUGAUAUGAUAUUCGAUCACGACGACCGAAUUGAUGAAGUCAUGGAUUAUGAUGGCGAAGAAGUUAAUGAUUAUUAUGGCAAAGAAAAUGUUGAUCUUGAUAAAACAGAGACCGGCAAGCCCUUCGGAUCGAGCAAAUCUUCUACAUGCAGAGUAGUGCGAGCCCAGGAAAAAAGUUGA
This 306-nucleotide ribosomal RNA is filed under the name Triticum aestivum (bread wheat). RNAcentral's name for it is "partial small subunit ribosomal RNA". Lineage: Eukaryota; Viridiplantae; Streptophyta; Magnoliopsida; Poales; Poaceae. The record is from RNAcentral.